Daphnia pulicaria is the source of this 795-nucleotide long non-coding RNA. RefSeq lists it as uncharacterized. The record is from RefSeq and is a predicted model, not a curated record. The transcript has 3 exons. Lineage: Eukaryota; Metazoa; Arthropoda; Branchiopoda; Diplostraca; Daphniidae.
CACUCGAAGGUCACGGAGAUCUUUACGUAAAACGUGUCAUGCAAUGGUGUAGAGGAUGGGUGAGGACGGACGUUUUGCAUCAUUAUCAAGCAGGUACAACACCCGCAAGGCUUUAGAGGUAAGGGUGAGAAAAAAUAUCGUAUAAAAGGAGAGAGAAAAGGCGAAGGAAAGUCAGUCGAGUGAGCAUCUCCGACACGGCAACAACUGCAGCGCACUCACCAUCUGCCUUCUUCAACGUAUUGCAGUUCUCAUACUUCUCAACCAUGGUUAACUAAGGCGUCGUAUGCUGUUGGGUGUCGUAUCGUUGAAGGCUGGGUCGACCACUGGUGUACCGAUGUCUUCUGGGUAUGGUGGAUGCCAAACCGCAACGUGCCGCCUUACUACUACAACAACAACAACAUACGCAACAACCGGUUCCUACACCACCAAGGCUCAAGAGUGUUACGCUACAAUUCAUGAUGCCCCGAGCAGCUACACCGAAUCCCCGAAGUAUAACUCUGCCCUGAGUUACAUCACCAGAGAGGCGGAGUACUACACCGAGGCCCCGCAGUACUACAACACCGAAGCGCUCAAGUACUACACUACAUCCUACGCUGCCCCGAGCUACUACACCUACGUCCCGAAGUAUUACUGUGCGUAAAAGGAGUCGUUAAAAAAAAAAAAGGAAGUCGUGCCCAAACUGCAGAGCCUUAUCUGUCACCAACUGGAUUCCCCAUCGUGUAACCGAUUCUCAAUUAUGGAUAACUAUGGCGUCGUGCUCCUGUUGGGUGUUGUAUCGUUGAUGGCUGGGUCGAU